Molecule: long non-coding RNA, 933 nt
Filed under: Homo sapiens (human)
Lineage: Eukaryota; Metazoa; Chordata; Mammalia; Primates; Hominidae
Description: PREDICTED lncRNA (TCONS_00174132)
Source: RNAcentral
AUCAAGCUAAACAGUAGUCACUGGGUUCCACGGUUCUCUUCCGUGACCCACGGCUUCUGACAGAGCUAUAACACUCACCACAUGGCCCAAGAUUCCAUUCCUUGGAAUCUGUGAGGCCAAGAACCCCAGGUUAGAGAACCUGAGGCUUGCCACCAUCUUAGAAGCGGCUUGCCACCAUCUUGGAAGUGGCUCGCCACCAUUUUGGCAACCAGGAAGGGACCUCCAAAGCGACCUGCCACUGACUCCCAUCCCUCCGGAUCCGGCAGGCUGUCCGCUGUGCUCCUGAACCAGCGAGGCACCCAUUGCCAAUCCUGAUUGGGCUAAAGGCUUGCCGUUGUUCCUGCACGGCUAAGUGCCCAGGUUCAUCCUAAUUGAGCUGAACACUAGUCACUGGGUUCCACGGUUCUCUUCCAUGACCCAUGGCUUCUAAUAGAGCUAUAACACUCACCGCACGGCCCAAGAUUCCAUUCCUUGGAAUCUGUGAGGCCAAGAACCCCAGGUCAGAGAACACGAGGCUAGCCACCAUCUUGGAAGUGGCCUACCACCAUCUUGGAAGUGGCUCGCCACCAUCUGAGGAGCUCUGUGAGCAAGGACCCCCGGGAGAAAGCAUUUAUGGUGAGGAGAAAAGCAGCUGGUAUCACACUCUACCCAAGUCCCAAAAGCAGGUUCACAUAACUCCUGUCUUCAUUAUCUGAUAUCCGGGACUUUUUCCCUUUCACCUUCCAUUAUAGGAUGAUGCAGCAAGAAGGCCCUCACCAGAUACCAGUCCUUUGAUCUUGGACUACCCAGGCUUCAGAACUAUAAGAAAUAAAUCUCCGUUCUUUGAGGAUUACCCAGUUUGUGCUAUUCUGUUAUGGCAGCACAAAAUGGACUAAGACAUAGGUCCAAUCUAAGGCCUAUCUCCCAGAGGACACCUCAUAGCUGUGAAUGAAU